Molecule: unclassified non-coding RNA, 482 nt
Filed under: Hevea brasiliensis (rubber tree)
Lineage: Eukaryota; Viridiplantae; Streptophyta; Magnoliopsida; Malpighiales; Euphorbiaceae
Source: RNAcentral
AUUUGGGGAGUAAAGUGGUGUAUAAUACAUACUUUGAUUAUAGUUCGUCGGGGGCAACGGCUAAUUGGAGGGAUACCUUGACGAUCUUCAUGGAGCCGCAGCCUCCGAAGCCGGAAGAGUUGCCGAUAGAUUGCAGAGAUGCAAUAACCAACUACUCUGAUCAUAUCAAAAAGUUGGGGAAUACCCUGUUGGGGUUGCUGUCAGAGUCCCUUGGCCUGAGCACUGACCAUCUGAAAGAUAUGGAGUGUACCAAAGGACUGCAUAUAGUCGGCCAUUAUUACCCAUCAUGCCCGGAACCAGAGCUCACCAUCGGGGUCGGAAAACAUUCUGAUCCAACAUUCCUAACCAUCCUUUUACAAGACCAGAUUGGAGGUUUACAAGUGCUUCAUCAAAAUGGAUGGAUCGACGUGGUUCCAGUGCCAGGCGCACUAGUUAUUAAUAUUGGCGAUCUUCUGCAGCUGAUCUCGAAUGACAAACUUAAG